This 70-nucleotide transfer RNA is filed under the name Marmota monax (woodchuck). Its description in RNAcentral is "tRNA.Ala". The record is from RNAcentral. Lineage: Eukaryota; Metazoa; Chordata; Mammalia; Rodentia; Sciuridae.
UGGGGUAUAGAUCAAUGGCAGACCAUGCUCAGCAUGCAUGAGGCCCUGGGUUCAAUCCCCAGAACCGAAA